GAUGAACGCUGGCGGCGUGCCUAAUACAUGCAAGUCGAGCGAACAGAUGAGGAGCUUGCUCCUCUGACGUUAGCGGCGGACGGGUGAGUAACACGUGGAUAACCUACCUAUAAGACUGGGAUAACUUCGGGAAACCGGAGCUAAUACCGGAUAAUAUAUUGAACCGCAUGGUUCAAUAGUGAAAGACGGUUUUGCUGUCACUUAUAGAUGGAUCCGCGCCGCAUUAGCUAGUUGGUAAGGUAACGGCUUACCAAGGCGACGAUGCGUAGCCGACCUGAGAGGGUGAUCGGCCACACUGGAACUGAGACACGGUCCAGACUCCUACGGGAGGCAGCAGUAGGGAAUCUUACGCAAUGGGCGAAAGCCUGACGGAGCAACGCCGCGUGAGUGAUGAAGGUCUUCGGAUCGUAAAACUCUGUUAUUAGGGAAGAACAAAUGUGUAAGUAACUAUGCACGUCUUGACGGUACCUAAUCAGAAAGCCACGGCUAACUACGUG
Molecule: ribosomal RNA, 497 nt
Filed under: uncultured bacterium
Lineage: Bacteria
Description: partial 16S ribosomal RNA
Rfam family: Bacterial small subunit ribosomal RNA
Source: RNAcentral